Molecule: ribosomal RNA, 253 nt
Filed under: uncultured bacterium
Lineage: Bacteria
Description: partial 16S ribosomal RNA
Rfam family: Bacterial small subunit ribosomal RNA
Source: RNAcentral
GACGAACCGAGCGAACGUUGUUCGGAAUCACUGGGCUUAAAGGGCGCGUAGGCGGGCUGCCGCGUCCGGGGUGAAAUCCCACGGCUCAACCGUGGAACGGCCCCGGGUACGGGCGGCCUCGAGGGGGGUAGGGGCGUGCGGAACUGUGGGUGGAGCGGUGAAAUGCGUUGAGAUCCACAGGAACUCCGGUGGCGAAGGCGGCACGCUGGACCCCUUCUGACGCUGAGGCGCGAAAGCCAGGGGAGCGAACAGG